RNAcentral lists this ribosomal RNA (253 nucleotides) under uncultured bacterium. RNAcentral's name for it is "partial 16S ribosomal RNA". It matches the Rfam family "Bacterial small subunit ribosomal RNA", at positions 524 to 776 of the family's 1533-position model. The record is from RNAcentral.
UACGUAGGUGGCAAGCGUUAAUCGGAAUUACUGGGCGUAAAGCGUGCGCAGGCGGUUUUGUAAGUCUGAUGUGAAAGCCCCGGGCUCAACCUGGGAAUUGCAUUGGAGACUGCAAGGCUUGAAUCUGGCAGAGGGGGGUAGAAUUCCACGUGUAGCAGUGAAAUGCGUAGAGAUGUGGAGGAACACCGAUGGCGAAGGCAGCCCCCUGGGUCAAGAUUGACGCUCAUGCACGAAAGCGUGGGGAGCAAACAGG